Molecule: unclassified non-coding RNA, 332 nt
Filed under: soil metagenome
Description: partial contains 5.8S ribosomal RNA, internal transcribed spacer 2, and large subunit ribosomal RNA
Rfam family: 5.8S ribosomal RNA (bases 1-120)
Source: RNAcentral
GAUGAAGAACGUAGCAAAAUGUGAUAAGUAAUGUGAAUUGCAGAAUUCAGUGAAUCAUCGAAUCUUUGAACGCACAUUGCGCCCGCCAGUAUUCUGGCGGGCAUGCCUGUUCGAGCGUCAUUUCAACCCUCAAGCACAGCUUGGUGUUGGGACUCGCGUUAAUUCGCGUUCCUCAAAUUGAUUGGCGGUCACGUCGAGCUUCCAUAGCGUAGUAGUAAAACCCUCGUUACUGGUAAUCGUCGCGGCCACGCCGUUAAACCCCAACUUCUGAAUGUUGACCUCGGAUCAGGUAGGAAUACCCGCUGAACUUAAGCAUAUCAAUAAGCGGAGGA